This 76-nucleotide transfer RNA is filed under the name Acidobacteriota bacterium. RNAcentral's name for it is "Acidobacteria bacterium tRNA-Met". It matches the Rfam family "tRNA". Rfam says of the family: Transfer RNA (tRNA) molecules are approximately 80 nucleotides in length. Their secondary structure includes four short double-helical elements and three loops (D, anti-codon, and T loops). Lineage: Bacteria; Pseudomonadati; Acidobacteriota. The record is from RNAcentral.
GGGGCUAUAGCUCAACGGUUAGAGCAGCGGACUCAUAAUCCGUUGGUUGCAGGUUCGAAUCCUGCUGGCCCCACCA